UUGUUGCUGGGCAAAACAGUUUAAGGCAAUGUCCUUAUUUUAUUACACAGUACUAUAACCUACUAAUAGUUCCACUAGUUUAUAAUGAAGCCCCUGAAGAUAUUGAAUUUUAAGCCAUAGUGUGUCAUAUGCCUGGGAUUUUAACAGGGUUAAAUGAAAUAUCAUUAAAUUGUUCAUAGGCCAAAAUUCUUGAACAGUGAGGCAACGGCCUGAGGAGGCCAACAAUUGGAGACUGCCUGGGUGUCAAACAUCAAGAGCUCAUAGCUCAGGACGUUUAAUACCCUCCCAGUGCACCCCCACUGAACGAUGCAUCCUUGAGGCCAUUGGUGAGGUGCAGCUGCAACUGCAGCAAUAAACUGGAGAGAGGGGCAGAAAUCUUC
Molecule: long non-coding RNA, 380 nt
Organism: Astyanax mexicanus (Mexican tetra)
Lineage: Eukaryota; Metazoa; Chordata; Actinopteri; Characiformes; Acestrorhamphidae
Exons: 3
Source: RefSeq, a predicted model, not a curated record